Molecule: long non-coding RNA, 570 nt
Organism: Melospiza melodia melodia
Lineage: Eukaryota; Metazoa; Chordata; Aves; Passeriformes; Passerellidae
Exons: 2
Source: RefSeq, a predicted model, not a curated record
AGGAGGCCCGUGUUUGACUUCAUGCGAGCGUUCUGGGAAGGCGGGGUUGGUUACUCACCUCAAGAAGGAGGAUGAAAUAAGCGUGUUGUUGCUGCAACACAUAUUUGUAGGGGGUGGGUAUGUUCUCAGCCUUCUGUGUUAACAGUACUGGGGCUUGAAGAAAAUCCUGCUAGAAUUAAAGGUUGCAUCACAGGAAAACCAUCUCUCUGAGAGGAACUUAAACCUGCUUUCGUUUUCCCUUCCCCUAAGCUGAAGGGAUGGGGUUAGGCUAAAAGGCUUCACUUUUGGAAACAGGCUGUACGAGGAAGCUGAGUUCGGUUUUUCUUUCUUCAGAACCACUCUGUUCACAUGGGGACAGUGCAGUUCACCUGCCCAUCAGCCCUGCCAUUGCGACAGCCCCAGCUCCCGGUUUCACUUGUGCUGCAGGCUCCGACUCUGCUUUGAACACAGACGACUUGCCCUGCGGCUAGUGAAGGAUUGAGGAUAUUGCCUCUUGGGAAGCAUCCCUAAAAAAUAAUGCUUCAUUCUCCCCUUCCCCACUCCAAUAAAAUUGGGCUGUGCCUCCUGCCA